Molecule: long non-coding RNA, 303 nt
Filed under: Lathyrus oleraceus (garden pea)
Lineage: Eukaryota; Viridiplantae; Streptophyta; Magnoliopsida; Fabales; Fabaceae
Description: Pisum sativum (pea) long non-coding RNA (PSAT_LNC018132)
Source: RNAcentral
UGUUUGACUGUUUUAGUGUGGUGGAAGAUGAUGCAGGGAGUGGUUUAUGGUGAGGUGAGUUAAAGGUAGUAGUUAAGUGUGGAGUUUGUUUAAGCUUUCAUGGUGGUGGAGAUCGCGUACGACGAAGGAGGUUCAUGGUGGGAGGCGGAGUGAAACAAAGGUGCAAGCUUAUGAAGUUGUUGUGUGGAGGAUGGAAGCGAUAAAAAUGGCGGAAGGAAAAUGUUUAGUGUGGGAGAAGAUGAAAAUGCUUUUAUCAAAGGAUGAAGAGAGUUUAAGUUGGUGUAUAUGUGAGUUAUGUGUUCG